Molecule: ribosomal RNA, 366 nt
Filed under: Triticum aestivum (bread wheat)
Lineage: Eukaryota; Viridiplantae; Streptophyta; Magnoliopsida; Poales; Poaceae
Description: partial small subunit ribosomal RNA
Source: RNAcentral
AUGACCUUCCUGGACAUGUUUUGUUGCUAUCAAUAUUUGUCCCAUGUUUUGUUUCCUUGCAUACUUAUUACCACAAUCUUUACUACUGCUAUUGUGAUAUCUACUAGUUGUGGUUCCCUCAAAUUGACUAGUUUUGUAGAAUAUCUCUGUUCACAUGUACACUACAACACCUUUGUACUAGUGUUGUUGUUUGUUGUUGUUUGGCAAACACCAGAGGCAAAUCAUAUUUGUCAUGCAGUUUUUGUAACUUGGCAUUUCUAUAUGGCUUGUUUAUAUUACUCCCUCCAUUCCCUUAUACAAGGCCACUAUCAAAAAUACAUUUUGCAUCAAUACAAGGCCACCAACAGUAACCGAGACAAAAAUUAA